This 52-nucleotide ribosomal RNA is filed under the name Anopheles claviger. RNAcentral's name for it is "partial 28S ribosomal RNA". The record is from RNAcentral. Lineage: Eukaryota; Metazoa; Arthropoda; Insecta; Diptera; Culicidae.
AAAACCUCAGUAGGCCUCAAAUAAUGUGUGGGUACCCCCUAAAUUUAAGCAU